UGAUAUCCUUAGCUUUACUUUCCUAGGUAC
This 30-nucleotide non-coding RNA is filed under the name Mus musculus (house mouse). The record is from RNAcentral. Lineage: Eukaryota; Metazoa; Chordata; Mammalia; Rodentia; Muridae.